This 253-nucleotide ribosomal RNA is filed under the name uncultured bacterium. RNAcentral describes it as "partial 16S ribosomal RNA". It matches the Rfam family "Bacterial small subunit ribosomal RNA", at positions 524 to 776 of the family's 1533-position model. The record is from RNAcentral.
UACGAAGGGGGCUAGCGUUGUUCGGAAUUACUGGGCGUAAAGCGCGCGUAGGCGGUGGUCCAUGUCAGAGGUGAAAUCCCGGAGCUCAACUCCGGAACUGCCUUUGAAACGGGACCGCUAGAAUCCGAGAGAGGAUGGCGGAAUUCCUAGUGUAGAGGUGAAAUUCGUAGAUAUUAGGAAGAACACCGGUGGCGAAGGCGGCCAUCUGGCUCGGUAUUGACGCUCAGGCGCGAAAGCGUGGGGAUCAAACAGG